Molecule: ribosomal RNA, 492 nt
Filed under: uncultured bacterium
Lineage: Bacteria
Description: partial 16S ribosomal RNA
Rfam family: Bacterial small subunit ribosomal RNA
Source: RNAcentral
AGUGAACGCUGGCGGUAGGCCUAACACAUGCAAGUCGAACGGCAGCACAGUAAGAGCUUGCUCUUACGGGUGGCGAGUGGCGGACGGGUGCGGAAUACAUCGGAAUCUACUUUUUCGUGGGGGCUAACGUAGGGAAACUUACGCUAAUACCGCAUACGACCUACGGGUGAAAGCAGGGGAUCUUCCGCCCUUGCGCGAUUGAAUGAGCCGAUGUCGGAUUAGCUAGUUGGCGGGGUAAAGGCCCACCAAGGCGACGAUCCGUAGCUGGUCUGAGAGGAUGAUCAGCCACACUGGAACUGAGACACGGUCCAGACUCCUACGGGAGGCAGCAGUGGGGAAUAUUGGACAAUGGGCGCAAGCCUGAUCCAGCCAUACCGCGUGUGUGAAGAAGGUCUUCGGGUUGUAAAGCCCUUUUGUUGGGAAAGAAAAGCAGCAGGUUAAUACCCCGCUGUUCUGACGGUACCCAAAGAAUAAGCACCGGCUAACUUCGUG